UCUGCUGGAGUUUUGUAAGUGAGCCCAGGAUAGGGGUAAGCCUUCUAUUUAUUCUCCUUUUGUUAGCUUAGUCUGCUUUGUCAAACUCUCUUGUUUAUUUCAUAAUGACAACAUCUUAAUAGUCAUUGAUUAUACACGUGCACUAAGUACUUUUUCUUCUUGUUUUAGACUACUCCAACGUACUUGGCCAAGCUGCUUUUGCAGAUGCCUCAAAACAACCCCACAGAGUUCAUGGAUUCAGCCAUCUUCACGCUGCAUAACUACGCAUCCAGUCAGAGAGAGGAAUCUCUGCUGUUGCGGCUGUUGCAAACAGCAUUGCAGGAAGAGAUCAAAUGCGCUCUUUCAACCGUGGUGCCCGUGGUCAGAACGCACUGAGGCAGAUCUUGGCCCCAGUUGUGAAGGAAAUAAUUGAGGGCGAAUCGCUCAACGUCAGAACGGAUCCAGUGGAUAUUUACAAGUGCUGGGUGAACCAGAUGGGAUCUCAGAAUGGUGAGGCCGGGCACUUCAAGGGAAGUGGUGGAAAAGCAAUGCUAUGAAGUAAAAGACAACUGUCCCAGCGCAGCACGCUGCGUGAGUUACUAUCUUAACACUGCAAUGUGCAGCUUGUGUUUUCACUGAUUUA
Long non-coding RNA from Tympanuchus pallidicinctus (lesser prairie-chicken), 622 nucleotides. RefSeq lists it as uncharacterized. The transcript has 3 exons. The record is from RefSeq and is a predicted model, not a curated record. Lineage: Eukaryota; Metazoa; Chordata; Aves; Galliformes; Phasianidae.